GUUUUGAUUAACAGAAGAAGCCUAGCCUCAGGGAAAGAAGUUCCAUAUUAGCUAACCCUCUCCGCCUCAUCCUUGAUGAGUUUCAAGCCAAGAAAGAUGAAAGAAGCUUGGACUGGAGAAAGGAGGGUUUCUGAGGUAGCUUGGGGAGGAGGAAGGAGCCUUAGUCUUGGAGCCAUAAGAGCUACACAGUUCCAGGCAGCCUUGAACAGACCAUAUGAUGUAGUGCAGCCUCUCUGGAGGCCCACUGAGCAGGGUUUUGAAUACUGAUGUGCCUUAGAUGGACUCUGCUUCACAUCUGGAACCUGUGGCCUCAUCUGUGCAGCAGGUUUAACCAUCCUCUGCAAGACUGUGAUGAGCAUCAAAUGCGAUAGUGCAUGGAGAACACCUGGGGCAUAACUAUUGCCGCACAAAUCACUUAACUUUCUUGAUAUUGUUUCCUCUUAAAGAGUGAAGAUUAUGCCCUAUGCCUUUUAGGGUAGCUGAGAGGAUAAAAUGGGAUAAUGUAUGCAAUUAUGUUAUAUAUUAUUGAGGUUUAAUUAGAAAAGGACUUCACAAGGAUCUUGGUAACCUAUUGCAGAGUUUUGCACUAAUACAUGUAUCCUUUUGUUGAACUAGAAUUUUUUCUUCUUUAUUAUUGUCUUUUUCAUCUUUCUUGACCUUCCAAGAACACAGAGAAGUGGUGGUAUUCAUUUGUUUCAUGCAAAUCUUCACGCACUGAAAGAUAUAAUCCAUUCACCCCUAGAGUUUAGGUUUUUAAAAAAAAGUCUUGAUUAUGACUGGAAAUCUGUUUUCUUAUUCAAAAUUCUUUGUUACAUUAUUCUGAACCCUUUUAACUUCUCCAUUGAUUAUGGUGUCCAAGAUAGGAAUUGAUCUUUGAGAAUUUCUCAGACUAAAAUAUAGGAGAAAGAUUACUUUCUGUCCUUCAUUCCCCAUUAAAAAAUAUAUAUGUAUAUCGAUGUCUUUAUUAUAAAAGUAAUGUCAUCACUUUAUAUACAUUUUGGAGAAGAGAGAAAGAAAAUUGCCCACAAUUCCAUCAGUUCAAUUAAUAGUAGUUUUAUGACUGUACAUCUGGUCAUUUUAAUAUACAUAUUUUACAUAUCUUUGUGUGUGUAUAUAUAUAGCUUAUAUAUCAUUAUAUACAUAUCUUACAUAACCACAAUCAUAUACAAAUAUGAAUCUUCCUUUUCCCCCCCCUCUUCUAAUGUUUUCUAUAUUGCUGCAUGUCUUUAGUACCUGUCUAGUAGAAUUAUGAGGAUUCAGUGCUUUAAGUGCUUAGCAUGGUGUCUGGCAAUAGUUAGUGUCAGUAAGUGGGAGCUGGUUGUUAUAUGACUUUUUCCAUCGUUUGCAUUAUUUCCUGAUGGACGCCCAGAAGUGGAUUUACUGGGUCAGGUACUCUUUAGGCUCUUGAUACAUGGCACCUGCCACAUUGCUUUCUGAGACCCAUUUCAGUUUACAGAGCCCUUGGUGCUACUCAGGAGUUUCACUGCUCUUCAUCAGCGCCCCUCACCCCUCACCCCUCCCUUUAUUUUUAGGUUUGGGAAGCUCAUUUAGUUAGGUAAAGAUGUUACCUAAUUAUUUAAGUUUCAUUAUUUAAUAAUUAUAAAUGUUGAACUUUUUGUUGUAUGUUUCCUCUUUGCAGUGUCUGUUCAUGACCUAUUUAACAGUUGGAAUCCCUUAACAGUUUCUAAUUGAAUUACGUGGCCUCUUUAAUAAAGAUAUUAAUCUUUUGUCAUAUGGACCGCAAAUAGUUUUCCUGUUUUCUUCUUAUUUUAGGGUUGAGUUUUGUUUUUUUUUUAAAGUUCUCACACAGACACACACAAUGUGAUCCAUCUCCUGUUCGUGGCUGUCACAAUGAAUUUCAUCACCAUCCAUGCCAGGUCUGAUGGUAGUGCCUUGAGUCCAACAAGAGAGACUCUCCCCAUGGUUACAUGGGUGCCUAAUAACAGCGAACACAGAUGCCUUCUACGCCCUGUACAUUCAUUCCCUUGCUGAGGAGUCCUAUCCUUUAUGAUCACCAAGAUGUGCAUUCAAGUCUGUAACAGAGCCCGGACAGCUGAUGGGAGAGGUGGCACAGGCCUGCACUGGGGUUUCUCAUCUCGGUGGCAAGGACAGUGGCACACAGAGGCAUUACAUUGGCUUCCGAGUCUAGAUCUAUAAAUAUAUUUAUUAUAACAAGAACUUAACAAUAAACAUAUACUAUGUACAAUACCGUUACAGAGAACCCUGUUUUAUAUCAUUCACAGAAAUAGCCAGUUUUGCUCCAGUGUGAUAACUGAGGAGAGAACAGGAUUUCAGUGUCGUCUGUGUUGAGUCCCGCUGACCACUAACACCUCCUUUGGAGGUAGACGCCCACCAACGCUGACAUCGCCCUGCCCCAGGCAGUUAGACACUUGUGCUCCAGUCCUUGGGUUCACACUUGCACCCUGUUUGAC
Molecule: long non-coding RNA, 2432 nt
Organism: Globicephala melas (long-finned pilot whale)
Lineage: Eukaryota; Metazoa; Chordata; Mammalia; Artiodactyla; Delphinidae
Source: RefSeq, a predicted model, not a curated record